GGUUAAGCGACUAAGCGUACACGGUGGAUGCCCUGGCAGUCAGAGGCGAUGAAGGACGUGCUAAUCUGCGAUAAGCGUCGGUAAGGUGAUAUGAACCGUUAUAACCGGCGAUUUCCGAAUGGGGAAACCCAGUGUGUUUCGACACACUAUCAUUAACUGAAUCCAUAGGUUAAUGAGGCGAACCGGGGGAACUGAAACAUCUAAGUACCCCGAGGAAAAGAAAUCAACCGAGAUUCCCCCAGUAGCGGCGAGCGAACGGGGAGGAGCCCAGAGCCUGAAUCAGUGUGUGUGUUAGUGGAAGCGUCUGGAAAGGCGCGCGAUACAGGGUGACAGCCCCGUACACAAAAAUGCACAUAUUGUGAGCUCGAUGAGUAGGGCGGGACACGUGGUAUCCUGUCUGAAUAUGGGGGGACCAUCCUCCAAGGCUAAAUACUCCUGACUGACCGAUAGUGAACCAGUACCGUGAGGGAAAGGCGAAAAGAACCCCGGCGAGGGGAGUGAAAAAGAACCUGAAACCGUGUACGUACAAGCAGUGGGAGCACGCUUAGGCGUGUGACUGCGUACCUUUUGUAUAAUGGGUCAGCGACUUAUAUUCUGUAGCAAGGUUAACCGAAUAGGGGAGCCGAAGGGAAACCGAGUCUUAACUGGGCGUUAAGUUGCAGGGUAUAGACCCGAAACCCGGUGAUCUAGCCAUGGGCAGGUUGAAGGUUGGGUAACACUAACUGGAGGACCGAACCGACUAAUGUUGAAAAAUUAGCGGAUGCCUUGUGGCUGGGGGUGAAAGGCCAAUCAAACCGGGAGAUAGCUGGUUCUCCCCGAAAGCUAUUUAGGUAGCGCCUCGUGAAUUCAUCUCCGGGGGUAGAGCACUGUUUCGGCAAGGGGGUCAUCCCGACUUACCAACCCGAUGCAAACUGCGAAUACCGGAGAAUGUUAUCACGGGAGACACACGGCGGGUGCUAACGUCCGUCGUGAAGAGGGAAACAACCCAGACCGCCAGCUAAGGUCCCAAAGUCAUGGUUAAGUGGGAAACGAUGUGGGAAGGCCCAGACAGCCAGGAUGUUGGCUUAGAAGCAGCCAUCAUUUAAAGAAAGCGUAAUAGCUCACUGGUCGAGUCGGCCUGCGCGGAAGAUGUAACGGGGCUAAACCAUGCACCGAAGCUGCGGCAGCGACGCUUAUGCGUUGUUGGGUAGGGGAGCGUUCUGUAAGCCUGUGAAGGUGUACUGUGAGGUAUGCUGGAGGUAUCAGAAGUGCGAAUGCUGACAUAAGUAACGAUAAAGCGGGUGAAAAGCCCGCUCGCCGGAAGACCAAGGGUUCCUGUCCAACGUUAAUCGGGGCAGGGUGAGUCGACCCCUAAGGCGAGGCCGAAAGGCGUAGUCGAUGGGAAACAGGUUAAUAUUCCUGUACUUGGUGUUACUGCGAAGGGGGGACGGAGAAGGCUAUGUUGGCCGGGCGACGGUUGUCCCGGUUUAAGCGUGUAGGCUGGUUUUCCAGGCAAAUCCGGAAAAUCAAGGCUGAGGCGUGAUGACGAGGCACUACGGUGCUGAAGCAACAAAUGCCCUGCUUCCAGGAAAAGCCUCUAAGCAUCAGGUAACAUCAAAUCGUACCCCAAACCGACACAGGUGGUCAGGUAGAGAAUACCAAGGCGCUUGAGAGAACUCGGGUGAAGGAACUAGGCAAAAUGGUGCCGUAACUUCGGGAGAAGGCACGCUGAUAUGUAGGUGAAGCGACUUGCUCGUGGAGCUGAAAUCAGUCGAAGAUACCAGCUGGCUGCAACUGUUUAUUAAAAACACAGCACUGUGCAAACACGAAAGUGGACGUAUACGGUGUGACGCCUGCCCGGUGCCGGAAGGUUAAUUGAUGGGGUCAGCGCAAGCGAAGCUCUUGAUCGAAGCCCCGGUAAACGGCGGCCGUAACUAUAACGGUCCUAAGGUAGCGAAAUUCCUUGUCGGGUAAGUUCCGACCUGCACGAAUGGCGUAAUGAUGGCCAGGCUGUCUCCACCCGAGACUCAGUGAAAUUGAACUCGCUGUGAAGAUGCAGUGUACCCGCGGCAAGACGGAAAGACCCCGUGAACCUUUACUAUAGCUUGACACUGAACAUUGAGCCUUGAUGUGUAGGAUAGGUGGGAGGCUUUGAAGUGUGGACGCCAGUCUGCAUGGAGCCGACCUUGAAAUACCACCCUUUAAUGUUUGAUGUUCUAACGUGGACCCGUGAUCCGGGUUGCGGACAGUGUCUGGUGGGUAGUUUGACUGGGGCGGUCUCCUCCUAAAGAGUAACGGAGGAGCACGAAGGUUGGCUAAUCCUGGUCGGACAUCAGGAGGUUAGUGCAAUGGCAUAAGCCAGCUUGACUGCGAGCGUGACGGCGCGAGCAGGUGCGAAAGCAGGUCAUAGUGAUCCGGUGGUUCUGAAUGGAAGGGCCAUCGCUCAACGGAUAAAAGGUACUCCGGGGAUAACAGGCUGAUACCGCCCAAGAGUUCAUAUCGACGGCGGUGUUUGGCACCUCGAUGUCGGCUCAUCACAUCCUGGGGCUGAAGUAGGUCCCAAGGGUAUGGCUGUUCGCCAUUUAAAGUGGUACGCGAGCUGGGUUUAGAACGUCGUGAGACAGUUCGGUCCCUAUCUGCCGUGGGCGCUGGAGAACUGAGGGGGGCUGCUCCUAGUACGAGAGGACCGGAGUGGACGCAUCACUGGUGUUCGGGUUGUCAUGCCAAUGGCACUGCCCGGUAGCUAAAUGCGGAAGAGAUAAGUGCUGAAAGCAUCUAAGCACGAAACUUGCCCCGAGAUGAGUUCUCCCUGACUCCUUGAGAGUCCUGAAGGAACGUUGAAGACGACGACGUUGAUAGGCCGGGUGUGUAAGCGCAGCGAUGCGUUGAGCUAACCGGUACUAAUGAACCGUGAGGCUUAACCUU
Molecule: ribosomal RNA, 2904 nt
Filed under: Escherichia coli K-12
Lineage: Bacteria; Pseudomonadati; Pseudomonadota; Gammaproteobacteria; Enterobacterales; Enterobacteriaceae
Description: bacterial LSU rRNA
Rfam family: Bacterial large subunit ribosomal RNA
Source: RNAcentral